UGGAUAUAGGACCUGAACAGAGGGACAAACAAAGGCCACAUGCAGGUUUUCCUGACACUUUGACCUCUUCCCCCAGCUGCUGUGACAGAGUCCUUGCUGUUUCACAGUGAAGCGCUCCCCACAGUUGUUACAUGUCUUUUGAGGAGUUGAAAGCUAGUUGGAUGACAACACUCCUGUGCUCUAAGGGAUGUCAUUCACAACAAAUACAGAAAACUUUGCUUGACAAAACAAUGUACUCUCGUUAGCUUGAGUGAAAAAUCCAGUGAGUGGACCUUGGGUUUAAGCAAAAGGCACCCAACAUUUUCGACAAGCUCAUUAUACAAAGUUUUUAAUCAUAGAUACAAUGUAAACUGAGAAAUAUGCCCUCAAUCGUUGCUUUUUUGUUCAAUAGUGUAUUUCAAAAAUAUUGAAAAUAUUGUCUUCUUCACUGCUGAUACCACAUCAGUUCACAAGUUAAUCCUAUUUUCCAUUUUCACCUCAGGAUAGUUGAACUUGAAUCCACUAAGGGCAACUGCCCACUUCUAACACUGAAGGCCAGUCUACAGUUUUCUGGCAGGGAAUCGACAAUACUCACUGAGAUCGGAUGUACUAUUACCCCAAACAGUGACUUUAAACAUCCUGCAGUGCUCUGGAGGUCAGGAUAUGAUGACAUAAGUGGUUAAAAGCACCGUUUUGCCAAUGAUUUUAGUAUCGAGUAUAUUAAAGACUAAGGCAAACUUUGAAGAACAUAAACAGCUGGGUCAUGAGCUGAUCAUGAGCCAGAUGUCUUUUACCAAAGGCCUGAGAUUAGAUAAUAACUUUGCAGGUCAGCCGUGGCAUG
Long non-coding RNA from Pundamilia nyererei, 820 nucleotides. RefSeq lists it as uncharacterized. The record is from RefSeq and is a predicted model, not a curated record. The transcript is spliced from 3 exons. NCBI's taxonomy places the organism in Eukaryota, Metazoa, Chordata, Actinopteri, Cichliformes, Cichlidae.